This 609-nucleotide ribosomal RNA is filed under the name Triticum aestivum (bread wheat). RNAcentral describes it as "partial small subunit ribosomal RNA". Lineage: Eukaryota; Viridiplantae; Streptophyta; Magnoliopsida; Poales; Poaceae. The record is from RNAcentral.
AUGGCUGCGUCUCUCCGCGCGGCGGCGACCACGAGGAUCCCGCGUCCGUCGGUGCUUCGAGGGCAGGGGCUUCGCCGGCUCGUCCACGCCGAGGAUCUUUCCAAAUCCAUCCUCCCCUUAGACAAGGAACAACGUGGUCCGCUAGUCCGGCGGAUGGGGGAGCUGAUGCGUUUGCAGGCUUCCAAAUUCACCCACGCCAUGAAGGAGGAACACCGUGCGGAGCUAGUCCAGCUGAAGAAGGAGCAAUUGUACGAAGUCAUUGCCCUUGUCGACGCCGAUUCUAAAACCUCCUUGCGGGACAAGAGUCUGCUCAAGGACCUCUCUACCCAAAUCGAGCCUAGACCACAUGACCCUCAAUGGCGGAAGAUAACCAGGAGCAAGAAGGUGACCAAGUGGACUGCUUUGGCGGGUAUUCUUGCUAUUAAUGCUCUCGGUUAUUGUGCCCUGCCUUCCGGUCCUGAAAUAGUGAAGUAUGACGGAUAUCUUGUAACCGUGGAGAGUCUUCCCUUGAUACGACAAUAUCAGCACGCUGCUGAGAGAGCGCGUAAGCAAGAUGGAUAUCAGCAUGUUGCUACUUCUGUGGGACUGGACAAGCAAGAGGAGAUGUGA